CGACUAAGUACGUAAACGUGAUACUCUUUGUAACAUCUAUUCACAGCAUAAAUCAAGCAGUUUUUGUACCCGAACGAAUGCAUGGAUGAAAUGACUUGUUGAUUUUGAAUGGAAAUAUUGUUGAUGUACAUUUCUAAAACAAAGUAUUAGUGGAAUAAUCCUCAGGGAAAACAACUCAGUAUCUCAAUUUCACUUUCCACCAAUGCUCAGGGGCUACGAUUGUACCCGUGUCCGAGAGGUACUUAACACCAGUGCAUUGCAGCAGCCCGAAGAGUUGCUUGUGCUCCGUUCGCAGUUUAUUUCAAUAGGUUUUCCAAUUCUUUUCCCACGGAGCUAUUGAACAAUUCAUUGAUACGUGUCAUCCUUUUAUCGAGAAGCAUUUGCCUCGUCACCUUCGGCAUUGACAAUUUCACAGGUGGCAAUGAAGAUUUUGUACUUUGGCGGGUCCCAUUUUUCAGACUUACGGACAACAGGCUGGAGCUUCUACGGGUGUGACGAUGCACGAUCGAAGUGGUCUGGGCUACCAAUACUAUAUUGCAAUGGAAAAGUGCAAAAUGAUAAGCUCACAAUUCAAAAAACGAAGCACAAAGCAUUUCUACAUUGGCAUAUAAUGACAUCUAUUCGUUUGUGGCCUAAUCUUACCACAUGAACGCACUGCCAGUACGUGAGAAAUUGAAAUUGUUGAGAAUAUCAGAACACAAACCUCGGACGUAAAACAUUUAUUUCCAUGGAAGAUGGACUAAUUUGAACCAGAGGAAGACAAAAUCAAACCAUACGAAGAUUUGGGGCAGAAUAUUAGAGAUGAACCUGCUUUCCAUGUGUUUGGGAUAAUAGUGCCACAGGAAUUCUUUGUUUGCCAUCUUUAAGGCCUUUUCUUUUCUGUUGUGGUCACUGGUGGAAAACUGGGGCACGGAAGAUGAAAGUUAUGGGCUAGCUCGGCGGAGAAGGGAUGAAGGGAGGCGACGUGGGCAUGGAGAGAAAGUGCAUGGCGACUGGGCUAUGAUACUGGUGGUUGGUCUCGGGUGG
RNAcentral lists this long non-coding RNA (1026 nucleotides) under Olea europaea subsp. europaea. Lineage: Eukaryota; Viridiplantae; Streptophyta; Magnoliopsida; Lamiales; Oleaceae. The record is from RNAcentral.